AUGGCUUCAAGAGAAAAAGAGCUCAAGUCCCCCUGCACUUCUACUUCAAGCUGGUCGGCUGCAUCAGCGCGUCCGUGUCAGCAGGCCGGCAUGUGCAACGGGCGGGGCUGCAAGCGGGAGUCCGCCGUCCGCGCGUCGCUGCGCCUGGGCGAGCGGGCGACUGCGUCCGCGGCCGGCGGCCUGGGGCGAGGCCGGCGCUGCGCGACGACGGGGCCUGAGGCUGGUGUUGAUCUUAUGGUGGCAACGAGGACGAGUCCGUCCAAGGCGGAGCCCAUGGCGCGGGAGCCGCCGCGUCCGGCAACGGGAGCUGAGGCCGAGAUCGCCAGGACGGAGAAGCUCCUGCACUUGCUCCUAUGGGGGCCGAACUAA
This 369-nucleotide ribosomal RNA is filed under the name Triticum aestivum (bread wheat). RNAcentral's name for it is "partial small subunit ribosomal RNA". Lineage: Eukaryota; Viridiplantae; Streptophyta; Magnoliopsida; Poales; Poaceae. The record is from RNAcentral.